CCUACGGGCGGCAGCAGUGGGGAAUAUUGCACAAUGGGGGAAACCCUGAUGCAGCGACGCCGCGUGAGUGAAGAAGUAUUUCGGUAUGUAAAGCUCUAUCAGCAGGGAAGAAAUAAAGUCCUUCGGACUUUGGACGGUACCUGACUAAGAAGCCCCGGCUAACUACGUGCCAGCAGCCGCGGUAAUACGUAGGGGGCAAGCGUUAUCCGGAUUUACGGGGGGUAAAGGGAGCGUCGACGGCAGCGCAAGUCUGGAGUGAAAUCCCAUGGCUUAACCAUGGAACUGCUUUGGAAACUGUGCAGCUGGAGUGCAGGAGAGGUAAGCGGAAUUCCUAGUGUAGCGGUGAAAUGCGUAGAUAUUAGGAGGAACACCAGUGGCGAAGGCGGCUUACUGGACUGUAACUGACGUUGAGGCUCGAAAGCGUGGGGAGCAAACAGGAUUAGAUACCCUGGUAGUC
Molecule: ribosomal RNA, 457 nt
Filed under: uncultured bacterium
Lineage: Bacteria
Description: partial 16S ribosomal RNA
Rfam family: Bacterial small subunit ribosomal RNA
Source: RNAcentral